AUUGAACGCUGGCGGCAUGCCUAACACAUGCAAGUCGAGCGGCUGAAGGGAUCUUUCCCCUUGGUUCCGCGUCGGGCGGGUGUGUAUUGUCUAUGAAUCUGCCUGGUGGUGGGGGAUAACGUCCGGAGACGGCCGCUAAUAUCGCAUACGUCCUGUGCGAGAAAGAGCGGGAUCCUCGGACCUCACGCUAUCAGAUGAUCCUAGGGCGGAUUAGCUAGUUGGUGGGGUAAAGGCCUACCAAGGCGACGAUCCGUAUCUGGUCUGAGAGGAUGAUCAGACACACUGGAACUGAGACACGGUCCAGACUCCUACGGGAGGCAGCAGUGGGGAAUAUUGGACAAUGGGCGAAAGCCUGAUCCAGCCAUGCCGCGUGUGUGAAGAAGGUCUUCGGAUUGUAAAGCACUUUAGGUUGGGAGGAAGGGCAGUAAGUUAAUACCUUCCUGUUUUGACGUUACCAACAGAAUAAGCACCGGCUAACUUCGUG
This 484-nucleotide ribosomal RNA is filed under the name uncultured bacterium. RNAcentral describes it as "partial 16S ribosomal RNA". It matches the Rfam family "Bacterial small subunit ribosomal RNA", at positions 30 to 507 of the family's 1533-position model. The record is from RNAcentral.